Molecule: ribosomal RNA, 510 nt
Filed under: Fusarium oxysporum
Lineage: Eukaryota; Fungi; Ascomycota; Sordariomycetes; Hypocreales; Nectriaceae
Description: eukaryotic LSU rRNA
Rfam family: 5.8S ribosomal RNA (bases 137-290)
Source: RNAcentral
AACUCCCAACCCCUGUGACAUACCACUUGUUGCCUCGGCGGAUCAGCCCGCUCCCGGUAAAACGGGACGGCCCGCCAGAGGACCCCUAAACUCUGUUUCUAUAUGUAACUUCUGAGUAAAACCAUAAAUAAAUCAAAACUUUCAACAACGGAUCUCUUGGUUCUGGCAUCGAUGAAGAACGCAGCAAAAUGCGAUAAGUAAUGUGAAUUGCAGAAUUCAGUGAAUCAUCGAAUCUUUGAACGCACAUUGCGCCCGCCAGUAUUCUGGCGGGCAUGCCUGUUCGAGCGUCAUUUCAACCCUCAAGCACAGCUUGGUGUUGGGACUCGCGUUAAUUCGCGUUCCCCAAAUUGAUUGGCGGUCACGUCGAGCUUCCAUAGCGUAGUAGUAAAACCCUCGUUACUGGUAAUCGUCGCGGCCACGCCGUUAAACCCCAACUUCUGAAUGUUGACCUCGGAUCAGGUAGGAAUACCCGCUGAACUUAAGCAUAUCAAUAAGCGGAGGGAAAAGAAA